AAGACCUAUGAUAACCUCUACAACCUUGCCUUUAUUAUAGUGAAACGCUAUAUAGAGCUGAUAGAAAGAUCAGAUCCAUGGGCUGUAAGAGGAUAAAGUGAAUUGUGGCAUAUUUUAACCAAAACGAAAAAAAUACUUUUUAUGUAUCUUUAGGAACAAAAAAUUCUUUGCUUGAUUGAUACAUUCGGUUCUAGUUACUUUUUUCUUUAUUUGUGCAACUAAUUAUUACAAUAAGUCGUCGUCUGGUGUUGUUUGAUUAAUUUAUGUUCAUUUUAAAAAUCAAUUUAGCACUUUUCUGUAACUCAACAACGAAUUGUGUUAAAGUUAGAUGUUUUGUUUAUUUUCGUCAAUGUUCAGCUGAAGCGAACUGACGCUCGCCCUAGGACUACUGAGCGAGACAAAUCAACCAAAGAGCUGAUUAUUGUUGAAAUCAUUUUAUACGAUUACAACAUCCAAAUAAAUUUGAAUAAAAUAGGU
Photinus pyralis (common eastern firefly) is the source of this 477-nucleotide long non-coding RNA. RefSeq lists it as uncharacterized. The transcript is spliced from 3 exons. Lineage: Eukaryota; Metazoa; Arthropoda; Insecta; Coleoptera; Lampyridae. The record is from RefSeq and is a predicted model, not a curated record.